This 31-nucleotide ribosomal RNA is filed under the name Lupinus pilosus. RNAcentral describes it as "partial 18S ribosomal RNA". Lineage: Eukaryota; Viridiplantae; Streptophyta; Magnoliopsida; Fabales; Fabaceae. The record is from RNAcentral.
GAUGCUACCGGUGAUCCUCCAGAUCAUCCGG